RNAcentral lists this ribosomal RNA (465 nucleotides) under Vreelandella stevensii. RNAcentral describes it as "partial 16S ribosomal RNA". It matches the Rfam family "Bacterial small subunit ribosomal RNA", at positions 338 to 795 of the family's 1533-position model. Lineage: Bacteria; Pseudomonadati; Pseudomonadota; Gammaproteobacteria; Oceanospirillales; Halomonadaceae. The record is from RNAcentral.
CCUACGGGCGGCAGCAGUGGGGAAUAUUGGACAAUGGGGGGAACCCUGAUCCAGCCAUGCCGCGUGUGUGAAGAAGGCCCUCGGGUUGUAAAGCACUUUCAGUGAGGAAGAACGCCUGGUGGUUAAUACCCAUCAGGAAAGACAUCACUCACAGAAGAAGCACCGGCUAACUCCGUGCCAGCAGCCGCGGUAAUACGGAGGGUGCGAGCGUUAAUCGGAAUUACUGGGCGUAAAGCGCGCGUAGGUGGCUUGAUAAGCCGGUUGUGAAAGCCCCGGGCUCAACCUGGGAACGGCAUCCGGAACUGUCAAGCUAGAGUGCAGGAGAGGAAGGUAGAAUUCCCGGUGUAGCGGUGAAAUGCGUAGAGAUCGGGAGGAAUACCAGUGGCGAAGGUGGCCUUCUGGACUGACACUGACACUGAGGUGCGAAAGCGUGGGUAGCAAACAGGAUUAGAUACCCGAGUAGUC